This is a long non-coding RNA of Daphnia pulex (common water flea), 207 nucleotides long. RefSeq lists it as uncharacterized. NCBI's taxonomy places the organism in Eukaryota, Metazoa, Arthropoda, Branchiopoda, Diplostraca, Daphniidae. The transcript is spliced from 2 exons. The record is from RefSeq and is a predicted model, not a curated record.
AGAAAGAGGACUGACUAAGUGGCUGACCCAUCCUGAUCCCAAUACAAAAAGCAGCAAUGAAGAAUCAGCACAUGAACGGGAGUUUCCUCAGUGCACUUAUGACAUCCCUCUCAUCACUCCUUGGUUGAAAAGACAAGAAUGGGCAGCUUACUUGCCUUUCCUGCCAUCCUAUCGGCCAGAAGUUUGGAGUGGGAAGACAAAGAGCUG